AAGACGAAAGUUUUAAUGUUUUUUUUUUUUUUUUUUUUAAAGUUUUAAUGGAGUUAGAAGUCUACUUUGAGAAGAAAAAACUAAGAGCUAGUACAUAAGGUGAUGGGUCAUUUUAAUAUUAAAUCAAUAUAAGUGCAUUAUUGUUCAUUUUAAUAGUAAAUCAAUAUAGUGCAUUAUUGUUAUUGCUGCACCAACUUUCUUUACAGGCUUUACAGCCAUACAUACAUAACUUUUCUUUCAAAUAUUCCUUUUAACUUUAUUCAACUUUAAAAAAGAAAUAAUGCACUAAGUUUUGUCUACGGUAUUUUAUGAAAGCUUUCAUUCAUUUUUGGUGAAUGCUCUUCUAUAUAAGAAGACCAUAUGCACGGCUAACAUACAGGGAAGAGGGAGAAGAAGAUAUACGGAGAGUUCAUAUAUUAUAAAAGAGAGUUUAAUAGUUGAAGGGAGGUGCUUAUUUGUGUGGAGUUUUGAACUCAAUUCUAGUCCAGAGUAUUGAGUUAUAUUGUGUAGACUGUUGUAUUCUGGAGGGGACAGGCCAAUGAGUAUUACUGCUGGAUCGGAGAAAUAAUUACCGCAGUGAGCUUGAAUCUCCUUAAAGAAAGCGAGAUAUCCGCGCCUCAGCCAUAGAAGAAGAAAUAUAAUUUUCUUUAUUCAUUUGUAAUUUUCAGUUGUAAAUCAGUUGUAAUAUCAUUGCAAUUUAUUGAGAUUUUCACCAACAAUUUUAAGGAGAUUCAUAGAUGGCAACAACUGAAAAUUUCGCGGAUGUCAAGAUGGGAGAUCUCAACAAGCCAUUCCGGUUCAACGGUACUCACUUCAAGAGGUGGAAGGGUAAAGUGUUUUUCUACUCUAGUCUUCUCAAUGUUUUUUAUGUGUUAACUGAGAAAAACCCAAAUAAAGUAGAUAACUCUUCCAUGACUGACGACGAACUUAUCUCUCUUGAAGAGAAAGUUGAAAAAUACAGUUGUGACUCCUACAAGUGUCGUUAUUUUUCACUUAAUUGUCUAUUUGAUAAUUUUUAUGAUUAUUAUGAUAGAACUUACUCUAAUGCAAAGAAAAUUUAGAAAGUCUUGCAAAGUAAGUAUGACACUGAGGAGGUGGAAGCGAAAAAACAUGCGGCUAGAGGCCAAGAUACACUUAUGCAAUCAGAAGAGAACAUCACACCGAAGGAAAACGUUACCGAAGAACCAUUUAUGACAGUAAUAACAGACAUAAACAUGGUGGUGAAUGUUGAUGGAUGGUGGGCUGACUCUGGUGCAAACCGUCAUGUCUGUUAUGACAAAGACUGAUUUAAACAUUAUAAAAAUUUUGAGGAGCCCAAAAUCGUCAUGCUUGGAGAUUCACACACAAGUCAAGUACUUGGAGUGGGGGAUGUCGAAUUGGGAUUUAAUUCUGGAAGAGUAUUAAUCUUAAAGGAUGUGCUAUAUACUCCUUUCAUGAGAAAAAAUUUAAUGUCGAGUUUUCUUCUUAAUAAAGCGGGUUUCAAACAGAUUAUUGAAUCUGAUCAGUAUUUAAUUGUGAAAAAUAAUAUUUUUGUGGGAAAAGGAUAUGCAUGUGAUGGUAUGUUCAAAUUGAAUGUUGAAAUGAAUAAAGUAUCUACUUCUGUUUACAUGCUUUCUUCUACUAAUUUUUGGCAUGCUCGUUUGUGUCAUAUAAAUGAACGAUAUGUGGGAAUCAUGAGUAUUUUAGGAUUAAUUCCAAUAAUCAAAAAGAAUUUUGAAAAAUGUGAAGCUUGUAGUUAAGCUAAAAUCACAAAAAGGCCUCACUUCUAUGUUGAAAGAAAAACUAAUUUAUUAGAAUUAGUUCAUAGUGAUAUUUGUGAACUUAGUGAAAUUUUAACUCGUGGAGGAAAUAUAUAUUUUAUCACUUUUAUUGAUGAUUUUUCUAAGUUUACAUAUGUUUACUUAAUGAAAAAUAAAAGUGAUGCUUUUGAGAAUUUUAAAACUUUCCUCCAUGAAGUUGAAAAUCAGUUUAAUAAAAAAAAAAAAGAAUAAGAAGUGAUAGAAGCCGUGAAUAUGAGUCACUUGAGUUCAAUUCUUAUGUAAGAUCAUUGGGUAUAAUUCAUGAAACUACUCCUCCUUAUUCUCUGGCAUCUAACGGUGUAGCAGAAAGGAAGAAUAGAACUUUGGUUGAGUUAACUAAUGCCAUAUUAAUUGAGUCUUGUGCACCGUUAAAUUUUUUGGGUGAAGCUCUUUUGACUGCUUGUUAUGUGUUGAAUCGUGUGCCUAAUAUAAAGAUGAAAUUAACGCCUUUUGAAUUAUGAAAAGGUCAUAAGCCAAAUUUGGGAUAUCUAAGAGUUUGGGGUUGUUUAGCCUAUGUGAGGUUAAUGGAUCCUAAAAUCUGUAAGUUGGGUAAGAAAGUUACUGCUUGUGCUUUUCUUGGUUAUGCUUCUAAUAGUACAGCCUAUAGAUUUUUUAAUCUUGAAGAUAGUGUGAUAAUAGAAUCAGGUGAUGCUAUUUUUCAUGAAGAUAAAUUUCCUUUUGAUUCUAAAAAUAGUGGGGGUCAUGGGACUAAAGAAAAUAUCUUAUCACUACCUAGUUCUUCUACUUCUACUUUAAAUAAUAAUGAAACUGAUGAUUUUGAGUUAAGAAGAAGUAAACGAGCUAGAGUAGAAAAAACUUUGGUCCUGAUUAUUAUGUUUUUAACGUUGGAGAUGACCCACUCACUUUAAAAGAAGCUUUGUCAUCACAUGAUGCUAUUUUUUGGAAAGUGUCUGUAAAUGAUGAAAUGGAAUCGCUAAUUUCUAAUAAAACUUGAAAGUUAGUUGAUUAACCACCGGGUUGUAAAACAAUUGGAUGUAAAUGGGUCUUACGUAAAAAAUUAAAAUCAGAUGAAUCUGUUGAAAAAUAUAAAGCUAGGCUUGUGGAAAAAGGUUUUAAACAACUAGAAGGCCUAGAAUUUUUUGAUACUUUUUCACCAGUAAUGAGAAUUACAUCCAUUAGACUUUUAAUUGCUAUUGCGGUAAUUUUUGAUUUACAAGUUCAUCAAAUGAAUGUAAAAAAUGCUUUUUUAAAACGGAGACCUAAAUGAAGAGAUUUACAUGGAACAACCCGAAGAUUUUGUUGUGGCUGACCAAGAAAGCAAAGUAUGUAAACUUAAUAAAUUCCUAUAUGGCUUGAAACAGACACCGAAACAAUGGCAUGAAAAGUUUGAUUCCUGCAUGAUUGAAAAUGAGUUUAAAACAAAUGAGUGUGAUAAGCGCAUAUAUCAUAAGUCUUGGAAUAAUUCAUAUGUUAUUAUUUACCUAUAUGUUGAUGAUUUAUUGAUCUUUGGCUCUAACAUGAAUAUUAUUGAUGAGACUAAAAAUAUUCUUAGAAGCCAUUUUAAAAUGAAAGAUCUUGGUGAGGUAAAUUUUAUUCUAGGAAUAAAAAUUACUAGAACAUGUGAUGGAAUUUUCCUUGACCAGUCACAGUAUGUUGAGAAAAUAUUGAAAAAAUAUAAUUUCCUUGAUUGGAAGCAUGUUGUAACUCCAUUUGAUUCUAGUGUUCACCUGUUUCCUGUCGAGAGUGAAACAAAAGUAAUAAAUCAAAAGGAACAUGCUAGCAUAAUUGAAAGUUUGAGAUAUGUGACUGAUUGCACUAGGCCUGAUAUUGCAUAUGCAGUAGGAGUACUUAGCAGGUUUAUUAGCAAGCCAGGUAAUUAAUGAACAUUGGCAUGCUAUAAACAGAGUAAUGAGAUAUUUAAUUGGAAUAAAAAAUUAUGAUUUGUUCUAUACAAAAUAUCCUGCUGUACUUGAAGGCUAUUGUGAUGCGGAUUGGAAUACUUUAUCAGGUGAUUCCUUAUCCACGACUGAUUAUGUUUUUACUUUGGGUGGUGGUGCUAUUUGUUGGAAGUCUAAAAAGCAAACAAUUAUUGCUAACUCUACCAUGGAGGUUGAACUAAUUGCUUUAGCUUCAACUAGUGAGGAAGCGAAUUGGUUGGGAUAUUUGUUAUUUCAAAUACCUUAUUUUGAAAAAACAAUUCCUCCUAUAUUAAUUCAUUGUGAUAAUACCGCUGCAAUUGGUAGAGUUUAAAACCGUUAUUAUAACGGUAAAUCCAGACCUAUACGGAGAAAAUACAGUAAUGUGAGAUUAUAUUUGACAAAUGAUACCAUUAAUGUUGAUUAUGUCAAAUCUUGUGAUAAUCUUGCAGAUCCGUUGACUAAGGCCUUAGCAAGAGAAAAGGUCUGGAGUACAUCGAGGGGGAUGAAAUUGAAGCCUAUUAAAUCAUCAGUCAUAUGUGAGGAAACCCAACCUGGGGACUAGAGAUCAUAUAACCAGGUUCAAUGGGAAAAAUGAAUCACCUGAUGACUUGUUAUGAAAAAUGCACUAUUAAUUUAUCCCUCCCUAUGAUGUAAGUACAUUUGCCUGUAAUGAUUGUGAGGUUGAGUUUAUUAAACUCUUAAUGAAUAUCUGUAUCUCUUA
Molecule: RNA transcript, 4400 nt
Organism: Capsicum annuum
Lineage: Eukaryota; Viridiplantae; Streptophyta; Magnoliopsida; Solanales; Solanaceae
Exons: 2
Source: RefSeq, a predicted model, not a curated record